Molecule: transfer RNA, 53 nt
Filed under: Clostridiaceae bacterium
Lineage: Bacteria; Bacillati; Bacillota; Clostridia; Eubacteriales; Clostridiaceae
Description: tRNA-Ser
Rfam family: tRNA
About the family: Transfer RNA (tRNA) molecules are approximately 80 nucleotides in length. Their secondary structure includes four short double-helical elements and three loops (D, anti-codon, and T loops).
Source: RNAcentral
GCAACUGAUUCGUAAUCAGUAGGUCGGCGGUUCGAGUCCGCCCGGAAGCUCCA